UCCCCUGUAGCUCAAUGGUAGAGCAGGUCCCUGUUAAGGACAAGGUUUGAGGUUCGAGUCCUCACGGGGGAGCCA
This 75-nucleotide transfer RNA is filed under the name Candidatus Levybacteria bacterium RIFCSPLOWO2_02_FULL_36_8b. Its description in RNAcentral is "tRNA-Asn". It matches the Rfam family "tRNA". Rfam says of the family: Transfer RNA (tRNA) molecules are approximately 80 nucleotides in length. Their secondary structure includes four short double-helical elements and three loops (D, anti-codon, and T loops). Further hydrogen bonds mediate the characteristic L-shaped molecular structure. tRNAs have two regions of fundamental functional importance: the anti-codon, which is responsible for specific mRNA codon recognition, and the 3' end, to which the tRNAs corresponding amino acid is attached (by aminoacyl-tRNA synthetases). tRNAs cope with the degeneracy of the genetic code in two manners: having more than one tRNA (with a specific anti-codon) for a particular amino acid; and 'wobble' base-pairing, i.e. permitting non-standard base-pairing at the 3rd anti-codon position. The record is from RNAcentral. Lineage: Bacteria; Candidatus Levyibacteriota.